This 287-nucleotide ribosomal RNA is filed under the name uncultured bacterium. RNAcentral describes it as "partial 16S ribosomal RNA". It matches the Rfam family "Bacterial small subunit ribosomal RNA", at positions 28 to 313 of the family's 1533-position model. The record is from RNAcentral.
GAUUAACGCUAGCGGCAGGCCUAAUACAUGCAAGUCGAACGGCAGCACGGGUAGCAAUACCUGGUGGCGAGUGGCGCACGGGUGCGUAACGCGUAUGCAAUCUACCUAUAACUGGGGAAUAGCCUUCCGAAAGGAAGAUUAAAACCGCAUAAUAUCACGAAGCGGCAUCGUUUUGUGAUCAAAUCUCCGGAGGUUAUAGAUGAGCAUGCGUGACAUUAGCUAGUUGGUGAGGUAACGGCUCACCAAGGCUACGAUGUCUAGGGGGUCUGAGAGGAUGAUCCCCACCA